RNAcentral lists this ribosomal RNA (798 nucleotides) under Mycoplasma suis. Its description in RNAcentral is "bacterial SSU rRNA". It matches the Rfam family "Bacterial small subunit ribosomal RNA", at positions 628 to 1463 of the family's 1533-position model. Lineage: Bacteria; Bacillati; Mycoplasmatota; Mollicutes; Mycoplasmatales; Mycoplasmataceae. The record is from RNAcentral.
GAAGAUUACAUUUCUAGAAUUAGUUAGAGGGCACUGGAAUUCAAUGUGUAGUGGUGGAAUACGUAGAUAUAUUGAGGAACACCAGAGGCUAAGGCGAGUGCCUGGAACAUAAUUGACGCUGAGGCUUGAAAGCGUGGGUAGCAAAUGGGAUUAGAUACCCCAGUAGUCCACGCCGUAAACGAUGGGUAUUAGUCAUUUGGAUUUAAGCUGAGUGAUGUAGCUAACGCGUUAAAUACCCCGCCUGGGUAGUAUAUAUGCAAAUAUGAAACUCAAAGAAAUUGACGGGGACCUGAACAAGUGGUGGAGCAUGUUGCUUAAUUCGAUAAUACACGCAAAACCUUACCAAGGCUUGCAAUCUUCUGCAAAGCUAUAGAAAUAUAGUGGAGGCUAUCAGAAUGACAGGUGGUGCAUGGCUGUCGUCAGCUCGUGUCUUGAGAUGUUUGGUUAAGUCCCGUAACGAGCGCAACCCUUCAUAUUAGUUGUUUAGUUCUAGUAUGACUGAAUCGUAAGAUCUAGGAAGGAUGGGGCCAAGUCAAGUCAUCAUGCCCCUUAUGCCUUGGGCUGCAAACGUGCUACAAUGGUAGAUACAAUGUGUUACAAUCUAGCGAUAGUGAGUUAAUCACCUAAAGUCUAUCUCAGUCCGGAUAAAAGGCUGCAAUUCGCCUAUUUGAAGAUGGAAUCACUAGUAAUCCUGUGUCAGCUAUAUCAGGGUGAAUACGUUCCCAGGUCUUGUACACACCGCCCGUCAAACUACGAAAGAAAGUACUAAUUAAAACCGUAUUUAAUUACGUCUAGAUU